GGUUAAGCGACUAAGCGUACACGGUGGAUGCCCUGGCAGUCAGAGGCGAUGAAGGGCGUGCUAAUCUGCGAUAAGCGCCGGUAAGGUGAUAUGAACCGUUAUAACCGGCGAUACCCGAAUGGGGAAACCCAGUGUGAUUCGUCACACUAUCAUUACGUGAAUACAUAGCGUAAUGAAGCGAACCGGGGGAACUGAAACAUCUAAGUACCCCGAGGAAAAGAAAUCAACCGAGAUUCCCCCAGUAGCGGCGAGCGAACGGGGAGGAGCCCAGAGCCUGAAUCAGCAUGUGUGUUAGUGGAAGCGUCUGGAAAGGCGCGCGAUACAGGGUGACAGCCCCGUACACAAAAGCGCAUGUGUUGUGAGCUCGAUGAGUAGGGCGGGACACGUGGUAUCCUGUCUGAAUAUGGGGGGACCAUCCUCCAAGGCUAAAUACUCCUGACUGACCGAUAGUGAACCAGUACCGUGAGGGAAAGGCGAAAAGAACCCCGGCGAGGGGAGUGAAAAAGAACCUGAAACCGUGUACGUACAAGCAGUGGGAGCACCCUUUGGGGUGUGACUGCGUACCUUUUGUAUAAUGGGUCAGCGACUUAUAUUCUGUAGCAAGGUUAACCGAAUAGGGGAGCCGGAGGGAAACCGAGUCUUAAUUGGGCGUUAAGUUGCAGGGUAUAGACCCGAAACCCGGUGAUCUAGCCAUGGGCAGGUUGAAGGUUGGGUAACACUAACUGGAGGACUGAACCGACUAAUGUUGAAAAAUUAGCGGAUGACCUGUGGCUGGGGGUGAAAGGCCAAUCAAACCGGGAGAUAGCUGGUUCUCCCCGAAAGCUAUUUAGGUAGCGCCUCGUGAAUUCAUCUCCGGGGGUAGAGCACUGUUUCGGCUAGGGGGCCAUCCCGGCUUACCAACCCGAUGCAAACUGCGAAUACCGGAGAAUGUUAUCACGGGAGACACACGGCGGGUGCUAACGUCCGUCGUGAAGAGGGAAACAACCCAGACCGCCAGCUAAGGUCCCAAAGUCAUGGUUAAGUGGGAAACGAUGUGGGAAGGCCCAGACAGCCAGGAUGUUGGCUUAGAAGCAGCCAUCAUUUAAAGAAAGCGUAAUAGCUCACUGGUCGAGUCGGCCUGCGCGGAAGAUGUAACGGGGCUAAACUAUGCACCGAAGCUGCGG
This 1163-nucleotide ribosomal RNA is filed under the name Salmonella enterica. Its description in RNAcentral is "partial 23S ribosomal RNA". It matches the Rfam family "Bacterial large subunit ribosomal RNA", at positions 1 to 1205 of the family's 2925-position model. Lineage: Bacteria; Pseudomonadati; Pseudomonadota; Gammaproteobacteria; Enterobacterales; Enterobacteriaceae. The record is from RNAcentral.